ACUGAAGAUGCUAAGAUGAAAAAUGAGAAUUUUCCGCAGGCA
This 42-nucleotide transfer RNA is filed under the name Lamna nasus. Its description in RNAcentral is "partial tRNA-Phe". The record is from RNAcentral. Lineage: Eukaryota; Metazoa; Chordata; Chondrichthyes; Lamniformes; Lamnidae.